RNAcentral lists this transfer RNA (78 nucleotides) under Erinaceus europaeus (western European hedgehog). Its description in RNAcentral is "tRNA-Lys (CTT) (tRNA-Lys-CTT-84-1)". It matches the Rfam family "tRNA". Rfam says of the family: Transfer RNA (tRNA) molecules are approximately 80 nucleotides in length. Their secondary structure includes four short double-helical elements and three loops (D, anti-codon, and T loops). Further hydrogen bonds mediate the characteristic L-shaped molecular structure. tRNAs have two regions of fundamental functional importance: the anti-codon, which is responsible for specific mRNA codon recognition, and the 3' end, to which the tRNAs corresponding amino acid is attached (by aminoacyl-tRNA synthetases). tRNAs cope with the degeneracy of the genetic code in two manners: having more than one tRNA (with a specific anti-codon) for a particular amino acid; and 'wobble' base-pairing, i.e. permitting non-standard base-pairing at the 3rd anti-codon position. The record is from RNAcentral. Lineage: Eukaryota; Metazoa; Chordata; Mammalia; Eulipotyphla; Erinaceidae.
ACCCCGAACGGCUAGCUCAGUCGGUAGAGCAUGAGACUCUUAAUCUCAGGGUCAUGGGUUCGUGCCCCAUGUUGGGCG